RNAcentral lists this unclassified non-coding RNA (200 nucleotides) under Hevea brasiliensis (rubber tree). The record is from RNAcentral. Lineage: Eukaryota; Viridiplantae; Streptophyta; Magnoliopsida; Malpighiales; Euphorbiaceae.
UCGCCGAGAUAGAGCAGGAUCGCCCCGGAUUCGAAGAUACUGACCGGCCUGCCGUGCGGGCCAUCGGGAUCGAUGAUGGCGGGAAUCUUGUUGUUCGGGCUGAUCUUGAGAAAAUCCGGCGCGAACUGCUCCUCUUUGGAAAUGUUGAUGGGAUGCACCUUGUAGGGCAGCCCCAUUUCCUCGAGUGCGAUGCUGAUCUU